AAUGAGCGCUGGCGGCGUGCCUAACACAUGCAAGUCGAAUGUGCCGCAAGGUGCAUGGCAGACGGGUGAGUAACGCGUGGGCAAUCUACCUUUUCGUGGGGAAUAACGAUCCGAAAGGAUUGGUAAUACCGCAUGAGACCAAUGGCUGGGAUGCUGUUGGUGAAACCUGGGGACCGCAAGGCCUGGGGCGAGAAGAGGAGCCUGCGUCUGAUUAGCUAGUUGGCGGGGUAACGGCCCACCAAGGCGACGAUCAGUAGCCGGCCUGAGAGGGUGAUCGGCCACACUGGAACUGAGACACGGUCCAGACUCCUACGGGAGGCAGCAGUGGGGAAUUUUGCGCAGUGGACGAAAGUCUGACGCAGCAACGCCGCGUGGGUGAUGAAGGUCUUCGGAUUGUAAAACCCUGUCGUCGAGGACGAAGGUCGGGGCGUUAAUAGCGCUUUGGCUUGACGGUACUCGGAGAGGAAGCCCCGGCUAACUCUGUGCCAGCAG
This 492-nucleotide ribosomal RNA is filed under the name uncultured bacterium. RNAcentral's name for it is "bacterial SSU rRNA". It matches the Rfam family "Bacterial small subunit ribosomal RNA", at positions 29 to 514 of the family's 1533-position model. The record is from RNAcentral.